This 89-nucleotide ribosomal RNA is filed under the name Acinetobacter baumannii. RNAcentral describes it as "partial 16S ribosomal RNA". It matches the Rfam family "Bacterial small subunit ribosomal RNA", at positions 1 to 86 of the family's 1533-position model. The record is from RNAcentral. Lineage: Bacteria; Pseudomonadati; Pseudomonadota; Gammaproteobacteria; Moraxellales; Moraxellaceae.
UUUAACUGAAGAGUUUGAUCAUGGCUCAGAUUGAACGCUGGCGGCAGGCUUAACACAUGCAAGUCGAGCGGGGGAAGGUAGCUUGCUAC